AUACGGAGGGUGCAAGCGUUAUUCGGAAUCACUGGGCGUAAAGGGUGCGUAGGCGGUUUGAUAAGUCUGAUGUGAAAUCCUAUGGCUCAACCAUAGAGCUGCAUUGGAAACUGUCAGACUAGAAUACUGAAGGGGCAGAUGGAAUUAGUGGUGUAGGGGUAAAAUCCGUAGAUAUCACUAGGAAUACCGAAAGCGAAAGCGAUCUGCUGGGAAGUUAUUGACGCUGAGGCACGAAAGCGUGGGGAGCAAACGGGAUUAGAAACCCGAGUAGUCC
Molecule: ribosomal RNA, 274 nt
Filed under: uncultured bacterium
Lineage: Bacteria
Description: partial 16S ribosomal RNA
Rfam family: Bacterial small subunit ribosomal RNA
Source: RNAcentral